RNAcentral lists this long non-coding RNA (607 nucleotides) under Monodelphis domestica (gray short-tailed opossum). RNAcentral describes it as "lncRNA (ENSMODG00000037013.1)". Lineage: Eukaryota; Metazoa; Chordata; Mammalia; Didelphimorphia; Didelphidae. The record is from RNAcentral.
AUGGCUGUCUUAGUUCCUGAUUAUCCAAAUCCUACCUUAGACAAUUCCAGAAAGUCAACUUACCUUCACACAUCUAUCCCAAUCCUUCUCCACACUACCAUACUUACAGAGACUCAAAGAUCCUUAAGGUUCCCUGCCACAUACUAACUGUUGCCUAAGGAAAGAACAUCCUAGUUUUUAUCAGUUGGUUUCUGAUUCUGAAGACAGAGUUGCAGCUACCAGCAGCCUGGGACCUGGGGCUGGGGCUGUAUGAGUGCUCUGGGUCAAGAAGAUCAGGAGGAAGCAGUAUCAGCAAUGCCAGAGUCAGUAGCAAGGAACUAGGAACACAAACGUGGGCUCAAACAGAUGGGCAAGAGUCCUCAAACUUAAAACAGCCAGGCCCAUAGGGAGAGCGACCAGGAAAAAAAAAGUAGGGAUUGAAGAAAAAGGCAGCAGCUCCAAAGAGAGUUCCGAGUUUGUGAGGAUGGAUGAGGUGGGAGAACUGCCUUGGAAAGAGAAACACGACUUAAAAAAAUUUAUCUAGGCUAUCUUAAAAAAUUGAGAGCUUCUUCUCCAAUUAAUGGUUGCCAUUAAUGUAAAAGUUAAAAUUAAAUCUCAAUAAUAAAAC